AGGACGAACGCUGGCGGCGUGCUUAACACAUGCAAGUCGAACGAUGAAGCAGAGCUUGCUCUGCCGAUUAGUGGCGAACGGGUGAGGAACACGUGAGAAACCUGCCCCAGACUCUGGGAUAACAAUUAGAAAUGAUUGCUAAUACCGGAUGACGUCGGAGAACCGCAUGGUUCACUGACGAAAGGAAAUCCGGUUUGGGAGGGUCUCGCGACCUAUCAGCUUGUUGGCGGGGUAAUGGCCCACCAAGGCGUCGACGGGUAGCUGGUCUGAGAGGAUGAUCAGCCACACUGGGACUGAGACACGGCCCAGACUCCUACGGGAGGCAGCAGUGGGGAAUCUUGCGCAAUGGGCGAAAAGCCUGACGCAGCAACGCCGCGUGCGGGAUGAAGGCCUUCGGCUGUAAACCGCUUUCAGCAGGAACGAAAAUGACGGUACCUGCAGAAGAAGAGCGGCCAACUACGUGCCAGCAGCCGCGGUAA
Molecule: ribosomal RNA, 479 nt
Filed under: uncultured soil bacterium
Lineage: Bacteria
Description: bacterial SSU rRNA
Rfam family: Bacterial small subunit ribosomal RNA
Source: RNAcentral